UAUUAUCCUCCAAAUGCCUGCAGUACCUGUCAUGAGAGCAUUCCUGAUAUGCACAAUGUGUGCUUUGUAUCAUUUCAUCGUGAUUAGUCUUGCUAGGGGCUGAUCAAUCUUAUUAAACUUUAUAAAGAACUAAUUUGUGACUGUUUAUUUUCAGUAUGUUUUCUAUUUCACUUACUUCUGCCUUUAUCUUUGUUAUUUCCUUUCUGCUAUUGACUUUGGCUAUAAAUUGCUCUUCUUUUUAUAGCUUCUUAAAGUGGAAGCUUAAGAUUGCUGAUUUCCGGCUGUUGUUGUGCUAACACAGACGCUGAAACUAUACAUGUGUUAGCUGCUUCCCCACAAUUCGAAAUGUCGUGUUUUCGUUAUCACUCAGACCAAGUUUCUGAAGGUCAGAAGUCUGAGCAUCCUGUAACUGAGUCUCCUGCUCAGCUCACUUCUAAGAGCUCCCCGAGAUACUCUCUUAUUUUAUGUCCCUGAAUGAACUCAAAGUCCGUGAAGUACACACCUGAGGAAGUGCUUCUCCCACCUGAACGUGAAUGAGGGUCCUGAAGGGCUUGCUUGUAAUGUGCACUCCUGGGCCUUAUGCAGGAGGGGUGAUCUCCUGCUUUCAUCCCAUACUGAAGUGCUCUCCCUGGAGUUGCAGGACCGAGUUACUGCUGCCUUCAUCCCCACUGUCCACGGUGGCGGAUGCACCGCACUGUAAUUUACCUUGAAGGCUAUGUGGAAAUACAGUGACUCCGUCCCCGUGGACAUGUGGAGCACUGUGGUUGUGCAUGAUUUGAGUGCCUGCGGCAUGCUCACCAGGAAGGACACCUAGAGAAGCCAAGUUUGCUCUCGAGGAAGGUUCCAAUCAGAGUGACACUGGUGAAACGAAGCAAGGAUUUGGGGAAAGAGAACAUGUGUUGCUUUAGACUAAUACUGUCUGGCUUUGAUUUCAAGUUUGAUAAUUUUGCUGGGCAAUUGCUAGUGAGAGCCCCACACCAAGACUCUCACGGUAAGUUGUUCAUUGAAAAGGCACUGCACUGACUUACACAUGAAUCAAAACACUAAACUGUACCCCAUACACAUGCACAAUUACAAUGUGUCAAUUAAAAUAAAUAAAUAAAAGUUUUCUUAAGGACGGUGCA
This is a long non-coding RNA of Galeopterus variegatus (Sunda flying lemur), 1124 nucleotides long. RefSeq lists it as uncharacterized. The record is from RefSeq and is a predicted model, not a curated record. NCBI's taxonomy places the organism in Eukaryota, Metazoa, Chordata, Mammalia, Dermoptera, Cynocephalidae. The transcript is spliced from 4 exons.